This 75-nucleotide transfer RNA is filed under the name Lachnospiraceae bacterium. Its description in RNAcentral is "tRNA-Pro". It matches the Rfam family "tRNA". From Rfam's summary of the family: Transfer RNA (tRNA) molecules are approximately 80 nucleotides in length. Lineage: Bacteria; Bacillati; Bacillota; Clostridia; Lachnospirales; Lachnospiraceae. The record is from RNAcentral. RNAcentral also lists the same sequence under 2 other names.
CGAGGUGUGGCUCAGUUUGGCUAGAGCGCCACGUUAGGGACGUGGAGGCCGCUGGUUCAAGUCCAGUCACCUCGA